CGUGGGUAACCUACCUAUAAGACUGGAAUAACUUCGGGAAACCGGAGCUAAUGCCGGAUAACAUUUGGAACCGCAUGGUUCUAAAGUAAAAGAUGGUUUUGCUAUCACUUAUAGAUGGACCCGCGCCGUAUUAGCUAGUUGGUAAGGUAACGGCUUACCAAGGCAACGAUACGUAGCCGACCUGAGAGGGUGAUCGGCCACACUGGAACUGAGACACGGUCCAGACUCCUACGGGAGGCAGCAGUAGGGAAUCUUCCGCAAUGGACGAAAGUCUGACGGAGCAACGCCGCGUGAGUGAUGAAGGUUUUCGGAUCGUAAAACUCUGUUAUUAGGGAAGAACAAAUGUGUAAGUAACUGUGCACAUCUUGACGGUACCUAAUCAGAAAGCCACGGCUAACUACGUGCCAGCAGCCGCGGUAAUACGUAGGUGGCAAGCGUUAUCCGGAAUUAUUGGGCGUAAAGCGCGCGUAGGCGGUUUCUUAAGUCUGAUGUGAAAGCCCACGGCUCAACCGUGGAGGGUCAUUGGAAACUGGGAAACUUGAGUACAGAAGAGGAAAGUGGAAUUCCAUGUGUAGCGGUGAAAUGCGCAGAGAUAUGGAGGAACACCAGUGGCGAAGGCGACUUUCUGGUCUGUAACUGACGCUGAUGUGCGAAAGCGUGGGGAUCAAACAGGAUUAGAUACCCUGGUAGUCCACGCCGU
This 700-nucleotide ribosomal RNA is filed under the name Staphylococcus sp. CM4. RNAcentral's name for it is "bacterial SSU rRNA". It matches the Rfam family "Bacterial small subunit ribosomal RNA", at positions 116 to 803 of the family's 1533-position model. Lineage: Bacteria; Bacillati; Bacillota; Bacilli; Caryophanales; Staphylococcaceae. The record is from RNAcentral.